Molecule: transfer RNA, 72 nt
Filed under: Bavayia septuiclavis
Lineage: Eukaryota; Metazoa; Chordata; Lepidosauria; Squamata; Diplodactylidae
Description: tRNA-Asn
Source: RNAcentral
UAGAUUGAAGCCCGCUGGAUUGGGNUNUAAUAUGUUAACUAAAGGUUAUGGGAUCGAGGCCCGUCAAUCUAG